UAAUACCAGCACCUCGAGUGGUCAGGACGUUUAUUGGGCCUAAAGCAUCCGUAGCCGGCUUUGCAAGUCUUCGGUUAAAUCCACCUGCUCAACAGAUGGGCCGCUGGAGAUACUACAAAGCUAGGGAGUGGGAGAGGCAGACGGUAUUCAGUGGGUAGGGGUAAAAUCCUCUGAUCCAUUGAGGACCACCAGUGGCGAAGGCGGUCUGCCAGAACACGUUCGACGGUGAGGGAUGAAAGCUGGGGGAGCAAACCGGAUUAGAUACCCGGGUAGUCCCAGCUGUAAACGAUGCAAACUCGGUGAUGCAUUGGCUUAUGGCCAAUGCAGUGCCGCAGGGAAGCCGUUAAGUUUGCCGCCUGGGAAGUACGGACGCAAGUCUGAAACUCAAAGGAAUUGACGGACGUCGU
Molecule: ribosomal RNA, 407 nt
Filed under: uncultured archaeon
Lineage: Archaea
Description: bacterial SSU rRNA
Rfam family: Archaeal small subunit ribosomal RNA
Source: RNAcentral